GACGAACGCUGGCGGCGUGCCUAAUACAUGCAAGUCGAGCGGACGGAUGGGAGCUUGCUCCCAGACCGUCAGCGGCGGACGGGUGAGUAACCCGUUGGCAACCUGCCUGUAAGACUGGGAUAACUCCGGGAAACCGGGGCUAAUACCGGAUAACUCUUUCCCUCACCUUAGGGAAAGCUGAAAAAUGGCAUUUCCCUAUCAUUUACAGAUGGGCCCGCGGCGCAUUAGCUAGUUGGUAAGGUAACGGCUCACCAAGGCGACGAUGCGUAGCCGACCUGAGAGGGUGAUCGGCCACACUGGAACUGAGACACGGCCCAGACUCCUACGGGAGGCAGCAGUAGGGAAUCUUCCGCAAUGGACGAAAGUCUAACGGAGCAACGCCGCGUGAGUGAUGAAGGUUUUCGGAUCGUAAAACUCUGUUGUCAGGGAAGAACAAGUACCGGAGUAACUGCCGGUACCUUGACGGUACCUGACCAGAAAGCCACGGCUAACUACGUG
RNAcentral lists this ribosomal RNA (498 nucleotides) under uncultured bacterium. Its description in RNAcentral is "partial 16S ribosomal RNA". It matches the Rfam family "Bacterial small subunit ribosomal RNA", at positions 28 to 507 of the family's 1533-position model. The record is from RNAcentral.